UCUGUUUGGAGGUCUGUGGUUAAACCCUUUGCCUCUCUCGCUUAUCAGCUUAAACUAUUGACAGCCAUUUUCACUGCACACACCAAAUAGGAUUAACAGUCUAGAGAGGAAAGAGGCGGCCGACUACACAGACGCACCAACAGUUCCUUUCUCUCCCACUGCCAUAAUACAUCUAUUCAGAAACAUGAAUAACGUGCUGUUAUCAGAGUCCUUUUCAUAUCUGUCGCGGGCACAGGCACACUUGAAAACUCUGGAGUCGAGAACUGCUGGCGGUUUAUUUUGGAGGACUGGAAUAGAAGGCAGUAACCCCAUCUUGUAAGCAGUUGAAUGUUUGCGAUCGCACUUAAUAGCUGACUAAUCGGAUGACAAAACCUGAGCAAAUAUCAUUUAUUUGAGUCAAUCGUUUGGGAUGAAGAGUCUCCUCUCUGAAAUGAUUGGCUGAAAGGGACUUUUAAAUGGGAAGUGAUGGAUUCUGACAAGGCCGUGUUAGGGCAGUUUCCCUUAAUAAACUCCGGGUAAACAUCAUGGAAAUUAGUCGAUAAAUAAUUUAAGGAAAAUUCAUAAGUCAUUCGAAUCCGGUUAACAAGGAAGGCGAGAUGAGCCACAGGCACGGUGUCCGGCCAGCAGGAGGAGCUCUUGAUACGUGAAACGGUGCCAGUGACUGAUCGAGCAAGAGACAGAGAGAGAGAGAAGGAAAGCAAGAGAGGCACUUCCAAGAAAUGAGUGCUAAAAGCUGUUUUGAAAGAAGACACCCUCCCUUAUCGGAGAGGUUUCGUAUGCAGCGGCUUUAGAGAACGGUCUGGGUGUUGUUCACAGCCUUUUGCUCUGGGUGUGCAUGCGGGAGGGAUACAGAAGAGCGAGGGAGACAGGUCGAGAGAGAGAAAAAGGGCAAAAACGGAUACAUGUCUGUGGCCAUUUCUCUUCGAUAUAAGAGGAAUUCAAACAAAUCCAGUGAUAAAUGGACUACAUAUGGCAGCCAUCAAUCCUGUCGCUGACUACAACUCCCAGAGUGCAACGCAUCACUGGUGCGAAGCAGGAGAUUACAUGCUCUGUAGAUCCAGGCACUUAAUUAAAGUAUUGCUCUGCAGCUGACAGACAGGCUUGGACACAAUGGGCUAAUACCUAAAAGAGCCAGCUAAUAAUUUACCUACCAAAUUAACUACAGUUACCUGUUGGGUUCUUUCACACAAGCUGUGACUCUGUGCAAUAUGCACACCUCGUAUUAAUUCCAACCAUCAAGAGCUCCACUGUGACUUCCUGAAAACAAAUUAAGACUCGGAGUAUAUUCAGAAUGGCAUGCCAGUUACUAUUAUUGACAGAAGGAAGUGUGCAGAGUGUAUGCUGUGCAUGGUAUGCAAAUGUUGCAAAUGCAUAGAAUACCAUUACGUUCUUCAUUUGCAAAAAUGCAUAUAGCCAAAGGACAGUGCUGAAUAAUGUAUACUGAAUAAUGCGAACAUUCUAUUUCCAGAGCGAUUAAUGAACAGGAAGUAAUAUUUUUAUGAUCUCCUGUUAACAUUUAAUACAGCUUAUUUAUUAUUAUUUAGAUUUUAACUGAAAGGCACUCACUGGAUUAAACAUAAAAUGUGAUGUAUUGUGUGAUAAUGUUUUAUUUUAUCUGCCUAUAUUAUAUUUACAUACUUUAUUUUAGGUUAAGGUCCAACUAGUAAACUGUAUGCAUCCAUGUAUCCAUUAUUAGUGCAUAUUGUUGUUUAAAUUUUUUUUUAUUUAGUUAUGCAUUAUAGUAGUAUCAGUAGUCUGAAGAAUAUGGCUGUUACUUUUGGCAUUUUGCAUACUGUUUGACAUACCAUUAAAAAAGAGUCUGUGGUAUACAGUUUAAACAGCACAGUAUGCUAGUAUUACAUUAACACAGUCUUAUGAGAAGAAUAGAAGAAGAGAAUCAAAAUGGAUAUUGAAAAUUGUCAUGACAGGGGUGUGACGGUGUGUAAUCUUGCCUCAUGUUACAGUCUGUACUCGGCAGAUGUUUUAACAAAAGCUUCUGACCCUAUUAAGCAAAGAAGAGUAUAUUUUGGUAAACUGGAGAAGGCACGUUUCAAUGUGUUUUCUUCUAGAAAUGUGAACAUCCGGCUGACUCACUGACAGAGAUUCACCAAUCUGAUUUGCAUGGAUGAAAUGACAGAUGAAAAACCAAACAAACCAACUCUUUCUCUCUGGAAAAUAAUCAUAUGUUUAUGUACACUCAGCGAUGUAGACUCAAGUACUUCAAAUGGCAAGCAAAUCAAUAUCUCAGCGUAUCCAAUUAAGCAACAAGAAAAUGAGCAGACUCUUUUUUUUUUUUUUUUUAUUGGAUCAACAGUUAUCGCUAUUAUUUUCUGUAAUUUCCAUGCAGUUAAUGUUAAGAUACUUUGCACAGUUUGUCAGUGUACAUUGUUAUAUAUAAGGGAUUUAAUCUCUGGACUGAUUUAGUUCAGUCUAGCUUGGUGUGAAGUGCACUCUCUCUUUCUUUCUCUGUAUGAGUUUGUUACACCUGUAAAAUUGAGCUGAAUGGAAGGUUCAUUCUACUCAUAUAACCUCCUACAAUGCCGGAUACACAGAAGGUGUGUUCCAUAUAUAUUAGAUGUAUUAUCUCUCAUAAUGCCCAGUGUUGUCUUGUAAUUGCCAUGUUGUGAAUUGUCCAGACGCAGUGGAGGUUGCCUGAUCUGUUCUUUACUGUGUGUGACUGUGUUGUCAGACCAUCCAUUGCAUUUGUCAUAUGAUUUUAGACUUGAUAUAAAUCUACUUUUCAAAAAAAGCUCUGUUCCAAAACCUA
Molecule: long non-coding RNA, 2767 nt
Organism: Carassius gibelio (silver crucian carp)
Lineage: Eukaryota; Metazoa; Chordata; Actinopteri; Cypriniformes; Cyprinidae
Exons: 2
Source: RefSeq, a predicted model, not a curated record